Macaca mulatta (Rhesus monkey) is the source of this 2953-nucleotide non-coding RNA. The record is from RefSeq and is a predicted model, not a curated record. NCBI's taxonomy places the organism in Eukaryota, Metazoa, Chordata, Mammalia, Primates, Cercopithecidae.
UUAGUCCCAGGGUGUUGGGUGGGGUAAACCCCGGGUCGUGAUCGAAAUGAGCGCUUCUGCUCCUUGAGCCUUGGAGUAACUGGAGCGGGUGGGGGCCACCUUUAAAUCUGUUAUGACACGGUCAGUGAUUCUUAAACCUGGCUGUGUGGGGAGAAUUUGUAGGGAGAGCUUGUUAAAAAGUCGUGUUUCGGGGCUCCACCCGCUACCCGAUGCAUUGAAUCUCACAGGAACCCGGGGAUUCGCAUUUUAAUAAACUAUUCUGGAGAUUUUGACUCCGGUCGUCAGCCUGCAGUUCACAGUGGCUUUGGAUUUGCUUUUUAGUAUCCCCCAUCUUCAAGACCUAAGCUUCGAUCUCGCGACCCCGCCCAUUACCCUCUGCCUUCGAUAGCCACAGAAGUCUCUGGGGUCUUAAGGUUUGCCUGCUGGCCCCGCCUCUUGUCUUUCAAUUGGUCCCUCGCUGGUCCCGUCCUGGAGCCAAAUUUUCUUUUCUGAUUGGUCAGCUGCGAGUUGUGGCGAGACCUGAUCCAAUGGCCGCCUGAAGCAAUGGUGUCGUUCGUGAAACGCAGCCCUAUCGUUGGUCCUAAGCUGACAAAUUGGUCUGUGGACGCCAAACUUCAGUGCUAGGACUUUCUGCGUGUGGACAGGGGGCCUGGUCCUGCGUGGGUCCAAGACAGACAGGAGAAAGCUGCCUGCUUUUGUGCCUCCCGGAGGCCCUGGUGGAAGCGAAACGGGGGCAGGAGCUGCACUGUCCCAAGCCCAGUGAGGCGAAGCUACCGGAGACAGCUCCGCCGGAUCCAAAGUUGGGCUUACCGGCUGGAACUUGAAACCCGGGCAUGUCGGACUCCUGCUGAAGCCAUCAUUCCUCUCUCCUGGCCCUGGGCGCCUUCGCCGGCGGGGACAACUGGUUUCGGGGCCAAGGUGGUCUGGGAGCCUGACGGUGACUUCUGGCCUGGGUUCCCACGAGCGGAAAGGGUUCCCCUCCCGUGAGAGGGAAACUAUGGAAGUUCCUACGCCUGGAGCCAGAACUCCUGCUGCUACCGCCCGACUCAAGGUUUAGUCUGGCGGCCUCCCACCUGUGCUUCUGAGAGUUCUGCUUCCAAGAGGCUGCUGGUGCCCGGGACACCCGCAGGCUGCUCUUAGAGUUUCGCCAUGGGUGACUUCGGCCUGAGAUGCGCUCCAUGGAGCAGAUUCUGGAGUUGCUGGUGCUGGAACAGUUCCUGACUAUCCUGUCCCAGGACAUCCACAGCAGGGUGCAGAAGCUGCAACAGGCGAGCUGUGAAGAAGCUGUAACUCUUUUAAAGUAUAUGUAUGACUUUUAAAAGAUAGAGCUUGUGAAAGUGAGGGAAUAGGUGAGUGAGAAAGGUUUUAUCUGCCAUCUUCCUCAAGGAGGCCCAGCCUCCCCUUUAUUCACAGGGUUCUGGGUCUGGUGGGUCCAGAGGACUGAGAUAUCUCGCUGUCUUAGUUCCCCAUUCAGAUUUUCUUGAUUGCCCUCAGUAGACCUUACACGGGCCAGUUUUUUUUUUUUUUUUUUUUUUUUUUGAUAGUCUUCUCUGGAACAUUCAUCCUCCAGAUUUCCCCCCAGUGCAGUGAAGAGUGACCUAUUGCUUUUGGUUUCCACAGGGAGGCAGUGUCGCUGUCAUAGUGUCAGCUCUGGAGGUAGAUCAAAGGGGGCUUUCAGCUCCUGGCUCUGCUCCCUACUAGCUGUGCGACUUUGGGCAAGUGACUCUUGCUUGGCUGGGCUUCACUUUCUGCAUUGGUCAAAUGCAGAAAGGGUAAUAGACCCUUCUGGGGUUGUUUGGAGGAUUAAAGGGAGAGCAGUAUGUCCGUGGUAAUCGCACGGCUGGCACACAGCUAGUGCUUGAAACUGUGAGCUGCUGUUAGGUUAGGGGCAGCAGUCUGGUCUCUGCAGAGAUGGGUCUCAGUUAAUUGUGAACUUAGACAGUUUGGCACUGAGGCUUUGGGGUCACUGUCCCAGGGGCACCCAAGUAAGCUUGUCUAAAUGAGAGGAACAGGAGCAUCAGGAGAAGGUGGGGGAGGGACCGAAGACCUAUGGGGAACAUGUGUGUACUGAAAUGGGCUUUCUCCCCACACCCUCCACACAAGCACAUACACACAUUAACUCAGGGUCAUGGCAUCAUAAAAACCUUGAGUUUAAACCAUCCCUUUCUUGUUGGGUCCAAAGGGACAGACUGUGGUUUUCUGUUGAAGGUUUACCCUCAGAUUCCUGUCAUAAUUUUUCUUUUCUAUUGAGCCCUGUCAUGAUGAUAAGCGAUGGCAGGUUGGUUCCUAGAUCAUACAUCAUAGACCUAGCACAGAAGUGUUUUCAGAAGAGCCUUUUCCUUACAAAACAGCAUGAAAGUCAUGGAGCCAGUGGAUACUGAGAUUUCAAACUGGAGCCAAUGGAUACUUAGAGGAGCCCUGUGGUGUAGAGUAGUUGCUACUUCUUGUUCACUAGGUCUAAUUAGCAUGUCAUCAAUGUAAUAGACUAGUGUGUUGUCUUGUAGAAAAGGUGAUCACGAUUCCUGUGAGCUAAACUAUGAUGUAGGGCUGGAAAAUUGAUGUACAAUAUACCUGAGGUAGGAUGGUGAGGGUGUAUUCCUGGUCUUGCCAGCUGAAAGCAAAUUGCUUCUGGUGGUCUUUACUAACAGUUAUUGAGAAAAAAAAGUAUUUUCAAGGUCAAGAGGUGCAUACUAGGUUCCAGGGAAUGUGUUAAUUUGCUUAAGAAAUGAAACCACAUCUGGAACAGCACUGCAAUUGGAGUCAUCACCUGGCUUAGUUUACAAUGACCCACUACCGUCUUCCAAGAUCCAUCUGGCUUCUGCAUAGGCCAAACAGAUUUUAAUCAGUGCCUUGGGAUGCCUGCCCUCCUCUCCCCAGAAAGCCUUGCUGCGGGGGUCCGUCCCACAGACCCUGACUCAACGAUGGAUGAAUAAAGUACACUGACACACAGAUA